CCUACGGGUGGCUGCAGUGGGGAAUAUUGGACAAUGGGGGCAACCCUGAUCCAGCGACGCCGCGUGUGUGAAGAAGGCCUGCGGGUUGUAAAGCACUUUUAGUGGGGAGGAAAAAAUCAGACCUAAUACGUCUGACAUUGACUUAACCCAAAGAAAAAGCACCGGCUAACUCUGUGCCAGCAGCCGCGGUAAUACAGAGGGUGCAAGCGUUAAUCGGAAUUACUGGGCGUAAAGCGUGCGUAGACGGUUAUUUAAGUCGGGUGUGAAAUCCCCGG
Molecule: ribosomal RNA, 275 nt
Filed under: uncultured bacterium
Lineage: Bacteria
Description: partial 16S ribosomal RNA
Rfam family: Bacterial small subunit ribosomal RNA
Source: RNAcentral